GUGUCAGCAGCCGCGGUAAUACAGAGGGUGCAAGCGUUGUUCGGAAUUAUUGGGCGUAAAGCGCGUGUAGGCGGCUUUGCAAGUCGGGUGUGAAAGCCCUCAGCUCAACUGAGGAAGUGCGCCCGAAACUGCAGAGCUUGAGUACCGGAGAGGAUGGCGGAAUUCCCCAAGUAGAGGUGAAAUUCGUAGAUAUGGGGAGGAACACCGGUGGCGAAGGCGGCCAUCUGGACGGAUACUGACGCUGAGACGCGAAAGCGUGGGUAGCAAACAGGAUUAGAUACCCUGGUAGUCCACGCCGUAAACGAUGAGAACUAGGUGUCGCGGGUGUUGACCCCUGCGGUGCCGAAGCUAACGCAUUAAGUUCUCCGCCUGGGAAGUACGGCCGCAAGGCUAAA
Molecule: ribosomal RNA, 395 nt
Filed under: uncultured bacterium
Lineage: Bacteria
Description: bacterial SSU rRNA
Rfam family: Bacterial small subunit ribosomal RNA
Source: RNAcentral